RNAcentral lists this ribosomal RNA (652 nucleotides) under Sarcocystis hjorti. RNAcentral describes it as "SSU rRNA". It matches the Rfam family "Eukaryotic small subunit ribosomal RNA", at positions 455 to 1077 of the family's 1831-position model. The record is from RNAcentral. Lineage: Eukaryota; Apicomplexa; Conoidasida; Eucoccidiorida; Sarcocystidae.
CUCAGGGAGGUAGUGACAAGAAAUAACAACACUGGAAAUUUUAUUUCUAGUGAUUGGAAUGAUGGGAAUUUAAACCCCUUUCAGAGUAACAAUUGGAGGGCAAGUCUGGUGCCAGCAGCCGCGGUAAUUCCAGCUCCAAUAGCGUAUAUUAAAGUUGUUGCAGUUAAAAAGCUCGUAGUUGGAUGUCUGCUGGAAGCAAUCAGUCCGCCUUAUUUGUAGGGUGUGCACUUGAUGAAUUCUGGCAUCUAUGUCCUAAUGUGAUAGAUAUGGCGGUGUAUAUGGGUUAAUCCUAUAUACACGUUUGCAUAUUAUAUUGGGAUAAUACCGUUACUUUGAGAAAAUUAGAGUGUUUGAAGCAGGCUAAUUGCCUUGAAUACUGCAGCAUGGAAUAACAAUAUAGGAUUUCGGUUCUAUUUUGUUGGUUUCUAGGACUGAAAUAAUGAUUAAUAGGGACAGUUGGGGGCAUUCGUAUUUAACUGUCAGAGGUGAAAUUCUUAGAUUUGUUUAAGACGAACUACUGCGAAAGCAUUUGCCAAAGAUGUUUUCAUUAAUCAAGAACGAAAGUUAGGGGCUCGAAGACGAUCAGAUACCGUCGUAGUCUUAACCAUAAACUAUGCCGACUAGAGAUAGGAAACUGUCAUUUUUCUGACUU